Aethalodelphis obliquidens (Pacific white-sided dolphin) is the source of this 1731-nucleotide long non-coding RNA. RefSeq lists it as uncharacterized. Lineage: Eukaryota; Metazoa; Chordata; Mammalia; Artiodactyla; Delphinidae. The transcript is spliced from 2 exons. The record is from RefSeq and is a predicted model, not a curated record.
AAAAAAAAAAAGAGAGGGAGAGAAAGAAUGUUUGAAAAACCGUUGCUGUCAUGAAAUGCACUAACUUCUCACUAGCAGUCUAAAUAAACCUCUCCUUCCCACGGCAGCCCUCUUACACACAUACCUGUCUAUUACCCAGGGAGCCAAUGGCUUUGCAAACCUGAGACACCCAGAAACUCAGCACAGGUGUGGGUUAAGGCCCCACAGCCCUGGCUUGACUGCUGAUAGCUACAGACAAAAGGGGAGCCUUUCUGGGCUGGGUGGGAAGAGGUCACCCAGAGAAGCGGGAGCCCCUCUUCAGCUUCCUCUACCACCCCCCCAGGUUUCCCCUGAGAAAGCCAGCUGCCAUCUGUAGCCAGGAAGCCCUCACAAAGACCAGGGGUGGGGGGCAUGAUUUAGAUGUUUUGUGCUACACCUAGCACACCCCAGCCCUUAACAAAUGCUCGGGGCUUCCACUACGAUGGGAGCCAUUGAAAGCAGCCCUGUGGGGGGACUUGGCCUCUCGAGGGGAUUCUGCUGACCAAAAUGCUCCUUACAAGGUUGUGCCUCAGACCCUUUGUUAGCGUGGACGUGGGUGAGCCCAGGGGGUCAUGUCUUCAUCUGCCUCCAUUUAUCCUCCCUAUUGAAGGGCUCCUUCAGGACAUUGGUCAGUCUCUGUGGGAAGUGAUUUGGAGAGCAACAAAAGAACUUGGGCCCUUUGGGGGGGGCCUUCAGAAUUCAGUAAACAUCUGGACACGGAAGGCCAGGUUCUCAAGCAGUCUAGCUGGGGAGAUGUCAAAAGAGAGAAAAAGCUGUGUGUGCCACGCAAGCUUUUAGUCCUCUGGCAACAUUUGUGGUCGAAAAACACAGACGCCCCAGUAGGUAGAUAGGAAGAUUUUUCAGAAGCUCCUCUAUUUGUCGGUUUUUGUGAGCGCAGUGCACUAUUUGUCAGUGCUCGUGGCAUGUGUGAGGAAACUGAAGUUCCUCAUGGCUACGGAGUAGCAUGUGACGGAUCUUCUGAUUCUGUACGGACUGUGAAUAACCCAAGGUUGCAUAAGCCUGUCCUGGGAAUUGUUGUUAAGCGUUUCUGUCAUCCUUGAGAUUUGUAAACCACUUUCUAGCCAAGGUGAUUUGUUGGCUGCUCAUCAUGAGCACAUUUUAAUUGACAAAAAAAUGAAGUACCGAGGCUAAGUGAUUUACACUUCAUCACACGAUAAACUUCAGGAUCUGAACUCUUGACUCUCAAUGUUCCCUUUAUUGUUGAAUCAAUCCAUUUAGAACACAUUAGUCAGCAUGAUUCAACAUUAGUCACAUGGCGCUAAUCAGCAUUCCACAGCGCGCCCAAAUCUAUCCUCAAACAGCAAAAGAAACUGGCUUCUGUCAGGAGACAAUGGAAUGCCAUUUUCGUCGGUAUUCAGGAGCUGACAUCCAGUUCAACCUAUCUCGUCAGAGCACCAUGGUUUACAAAGGAUAGAUGCUUGAGAAAUACCUGCUUAACUGAACUCACUGAAAUGGAGCUUAAGUCAUAUUCCAGAAAGAACUCCAAGUCCUUUUGGAAGAGGUCUUCAAAGAAAAUCAACAACCUGAAUUGAUUUAACUUCUUUUGAUAUUAUUACCUGGGCAUUUUCACAAAUGCAAACUGUUAAUUGUGAAAGAUAGCCAAAUGGCUUCCCGGUUCUAAAAGAGGAGCGUGGAUCUAGUCUAACUACAGUCCAGGCCUUGGAAUAAAGUUGUUCUCUUUUCCAAGUGACA